RNAcentral lists this non-coding RNA (111 nucleotides) under Macrococcoides caseolyticum. RNAcentral describes it as "Macrococcus caseolyticus SAM-I sequence". It matches the Rfam family "SAM riboswitch aptamer (S box leader)". From Rfam's summary of the family: The SAM riboswitch is found upstream of a number of genes which code for proteins involved in methionine or cysteine biosynthesis in Gram-positive bacteria. RNAcentral also lists the same sequence under 1 other name. The record is from RNAcentral. Lineage: Bacteria; Bacillati; Bacillota; Bacilli; Caryophanales; Staphylococcaceae.
CUCUUAUCCAGAGUGGUGGAGGGACAUGGACCCUUUGAAGCCCAGCAACCCUUAACAUACUGUUAAGUAAGGUGCCAAACCGUUUGCAGAUUAAUUUCUGAACGAUAAGAG